GAUGAACGCUAGCUACAGGCUUAACACAUGCAAGUCAGGGGCAGCAUGAAGUUUGCUUGCAAACUUUGAUGGCGACCGGCGGAUGGGUGAGUAACGCGUACCCAACCUGCUCCCUUCCCGGGCACAGCCCUUGGAAACGAGGAUUAACGCCCGAUGGCGUCUGGAUGCCGCAUGGCAUUCCGACCAAAUGCGAAGGAAGGGGAUGGGGGUGCGUCCCAUUAGCUAGUUGGCGGGGUAACGGCCCACCAAGGCAUCGAUGGGUAGGGGUUCUGAGAGGAAGGUCCCCCACACUGGAACUGAGACACGGCCCAGACUCCUACGGGAGGCAGCAGUGGGGAAUAUUGGGCAAUGGACGCAAGUCUGACCCAGCAACGCCGCGUGAAGGAAGAAGGCUUUCGGGUUGUAAACUUCUUUUAAGAGGGAAGAGUAGAAGACGGUACCUCUUGAAUAAGCCACGGCUAACUACGUG
RNAcentral lists this ribosomal RNA (469 nucleotides) under uncultured bacterium. Its description in RNAcentral is "bacterial SSU rRNA". It matches the Rfam family "Bacterial small subunit ribosomal RNA", at positions 28 to 507 of the family's 1533-position model. The record is from RNAcentral.